UAAUGAUGUGGCACAAUAUUA
RNAcentral lists this microRNA (21 nucleotides) under Gossypium raimondii (Peruvian cotton). RNAcentral describes it as "gra-miR8740". The record is from miRBase by way of RNAcentral. Lineage: Eukaryota; Viridiplantae; Streptophyta; Magnoliopsida; Malvales; Malvaceae.